Molecule: non-coding RNA, 612 nt
Organism: Biomphalaria pfeifferi
Lineage: Eukaryota; Metazoa; Mollusca; Gastropoda; Planorbidae
Source: the annotation of a GenBank genome assembly
AGAAAACUUUUAGUUUUGUGAUUGGUUUUUAGCUUUAUGUUUCUCCAAAACUUCACCUACAAGACACAAUGGUAAAUGCAGUUGAUCAAUGCAAAUAGAUAACGUUAGUAUGUUCAUGUUUACUUUUAGAUUGCAAUCAGCUAAGUGGUUCUGGUUUGUUUAUCACGUGACUAAAUGGUUAGCUAAUGGUCACAGUACUGAUACUGAUCAAUAUAAAAAAACAAUGGUAAUGGUAGGAAAUGUUGACAAUUUUGAAAAGGGUGAUAAUCCAUUUUAGCAUGUCACGAAUGUUUUGUUUUUUUAAAAUGAUUUUCACGAGUAACAACGUCAUUAAAUAACAGAUUCUCUGAUCUAAUUAUAUUGUGCUCGGAUUGACAAUGACGCCGUUUGAAGGUAGCUUGCUUUAGACGGUGUAAAAAAACUAUUUUUCUGGAUUCGUAAUUUAUGUAGUACAUUCUAUAUUCCAUUUCAACUAUUUAGAGAAGGCGAAUAGGGGAAAACUGGUAGAUCCAACAUGUGGAUAGACUUGCAAAAUGCGUCGUUGUGUGCCUCGACUAACUGCUCUACCUUUAGUUUCGACUCACAUAUUACCAAGGACUUGUACAUUAUUGU